This is a long non-coding RNA of Myodes glareolus (Bank vole), 953 nucleotides long. RefSeq lists it as uncharacterized. The record is from RefSeq and is a predicted model, not a curated record. Lineage: Eukaryota; Metazoa; Chordata; Mammalia; Rodentia; Cricetidae.
AAGAACGAUUGGCUGUUAUUGGAGCCUAUGCUGUGGCCUGUACUGUGGCUCUCAUCUCACCUCCUAGGCCUCAUGACAGUGCCUACCAGGAGAGCUUCCACCCAUGGGAUGCAUUUCCCAGUGACUCCAGUCUAUGGCCCCAGAGACUCCUUCAGCAGCUACUCAAGACUUUCAAAAUGCGUUUUCCAAGCUGGGCAUGCUGGUGUACACUUGUAAUCCCAGAACUCAGGGGGAUACCAUGGUGAUUGCAUACAUUACAGUGCUUCCUGGCAAGACCCUGUCUCAAAGACAAAAGGAAAAGGAAAUAGAAGAAUGCACAGUAUACACUUUCCUCCUAUUGAUGGAAGCUGUAUUCCAUGUUGUCUGUGGAAGGUAACAAUCUUUUAUUGCACCAGUACAUCUGACUGCAGCAUUACAGACAGGGUUUUGGGGGAGGGAAAUGACUAGGCUUUACUGUCAAUUACUGAGAAACAUCCGUUUGUCAUUUAACAUUUUUCUCAUAACGUUAAUGUCAUCAUUUAACGGACUCAGGACACUUCUACUCAACUUUCUAAGGAUGAGAGCAUGUGGAUUCUUUUACACUCUUUAUACCACUGGGCCUGUGGGUGGUACAUGUCCUCUGCUACUUCCAGAUCUUUCUUUCCUCUUUUCUUUGCAAAUUUUAGGCUUUUAAUGCUAUUUUGUGAGGCUGUAUUAUUGUACUUAGACUCUUAGUCUUUGCAAACAUUUAUUGUCUUCUAUUAUUUGCCUGAACCUCAUCUAAUGGCUUUUCUUCAUUGAAUCUUAAGCUCCUGGACUGCAGGCAUUUCAGCUAAUGUUAUUGUUUCAUUUGCAGUGAUUUUAGCAUCUGCAUGCAUGGUACUUCCAGUGCCCUAAUCCAUCUGUUAUAAUUCACUGUGGGUCUAAUACUGGCAUAGAUAACACUUCCAGCACUCUUCCUUCUGUAGACAGAA